CACGUAGGGGGCAAGCGUUGUCCGGAUUUAUUGGGCGUAAAGAGCUCGUAGGCGGUUCGGUAAGUUAGGUGUGAAACCUCCAGGCUCAACCUGGAGACGCCACCCGAUACUGCUGUGACUAGAGUCCGGUAGGGGAGCGUGGAAUUCCUGGUGUAGCGGUGAAAUGCGCAGAUAUCAGGAGGAACACCAGCGGCGAAGGCGGCGCUCUGGGCCGGAACUGACGCUGAGGAGCGAAAGCGUGGGUAGCAAACAGG
This 254-nucleotide ribosomal RNA is filed under the name uncultured bacterium. RNAcentral describes it as "partial 16S ribosomal RNA". It matches the Rfam family "Bacterial small subunit ribosomal RNA", at positions 524 to 776 of the family's 1533-position model. The record is from RNAcentral.